AAUACGUUCCCGGACCUUGCACACACCGCCCGUCAAGUCAUGGAAGCUGGGUGUACCUAAAGUCGGUAACCGCAAGGAGCCGCCUAGGGUAAAACUAGUGACUGGGGCU
Molecule: ribosomal RNA, 109 nt
Filed under: uncultured bacterium
Lineage: Bacteria
Description: partial 16S ribosomal RNA
Rfam family: Bacterial small subunit ribosomal RNA
Source: RNAcentral